Nelumbo nucifera (sacred lotus) is the source of this 754-nucleotide long non-coding RNA. RefSeq lists it as uncharacterized. NCBI's taxonomy places the organism in Eukaryota, Viridiplantae, Streptophyta, Magnoliopsida, Proteales, Nelumbonaceae. The record is from RefSeq and is a predicted model, not a curated record.
CCGUCUAGCAACAGCUGGAUCUUGACCGGCUUCAAUUUAUAAUUAUAAACUGGAGACAGCAACAGCAACAUCGCCGGAGGCAGAGAUCAAUCCAGUCAUUGUGCACAAGGAGUAAGGACUGAGGAGGAGGAGGAGAUGGGUCGGCCCUCUAGCUUUGCUCGUUUUCUGAUUUUGGUGAUCUUUAUAGCAUUCAUCUCUGCCAUGCAGUUGGGAUUGGUUAAUGCAGAUUCUAUGGUGAGAAAGAUGCUUGAAAGAAGAUCUAUACCUACAUCUCCUCCAUCUCCAAAUCCAAACCGACCAGGGCCACCUGAUAGGUUGCUGAACUGAUUUAGUAUGCGCUUCUCAAAUGCAAUAAAUAAUUGCUCUGCUGAUUAAACAGGGUAACUGACAAGUCCACUCCAUCCAUGCAUAAGGAAACUGAAACAAGUUUUCUUAUAUCUGCAUCUGAAAGUUUUCCGAUUGGAAUAAUGAAUAAUAAAACCCUGGGAUAUUGAUAUUCUUGAUUGGAAUUGGAUGAUCCAUAGUGUCAGCAUAAGUGGAUUAUUCUGCAAUAUUAAAGCCAAUGCUUUUCAAGAGCGAUUUGCUGCCAGUACUUCGUCUCUCGUAUUCUAGCUCCUCCGUCCUUGUUGUUCUCAAAAAAUGAAAUAAAAUGGUGCUAUUCUGCUGGUGGUUUUUAAAUUUUGGUUGAUCUCAUUAUUAUCUGGUUGGUCCCCUGAAGGUUCUGUAUUUUGAGAUGUUUUCUUUCAAGUUUCAA